Molecule: transfer RNA, 65 nt
Filed under: Capnogryllacris melanocrania
Lineage: Eukaryota; Metazoa; Arthropoda; Insecta; Orthoptera; Gryllacrididae
Description: tRNA-Phe
Rfam family: tRNA
About the family: Transfer RNA (tRNA) molecules are approximately 80 nucleotides in length.
Source: RNAcentral
ACUUAAGUAGCUUAUAUUAGAGCAAGACAUUGAAGAUGUUUAGGUAAUAAAUUUAUUCUUAAGUA